RNAcentral lists this ribosomal RNA (497 nucleotides) under uncultured bacterium. RNAcentral's name for it is "partial 16S ribosomal RNA". It matches the Rfam family "Bacterial small subunit ribosomal RNA", at positions 28 to 507 of the family's 1533-position model. The record is from RNAcentral.
GAUGAACGCUGGCGGCGUGCCUAAUACAUGCAAGUCGAGCGAACGGACGAGAAGCUUGCUUCUCUGAUGUUAGCGGCGGACGGGUGAGUAACACGUGGAUAACCUACCUAUAAGACUGGGAUAACUUCGGGAAACCGUAGCUAAUACCGGAUAAUAUUUUGAACCGCAUGGUUCAAAAGUGAAAGACGGUCUUGCUGUCACUUAUAGAUGGAUCCGCGCUGCUUUAGCUAGUUGGUAAGGUAACGGCUUACCAAGGCAACGAUGCAUAGCCGACCUGAGAGGGUGAUCGGCCACACUGGAACUGAGACACGGUCCAGACUCCUACGGGAGGCAGCAGUCGGGAAUCUUCCGCAAUGGGCGAAAGCCUGACGGAGCAACGCCGCGUGAGUGAUGAAGGUCUUCGGAUCGUAAAACUCUGUUAUUAGUGAAGAACAUAUGUGUAAGUAACUGUGCACAUCUUGACGGUACCUAAUCAGAAAGCCACGGCUAACUACGUG